RNAcentral lists this small nuclear RNA (164 nucleotides) under Pogona vitticeps (central bearded dragon). RNAcentral describes it as "U1 spliceosomal RNA (ENSPVIG00000025542.1)". It matches the Rfam family "U1 spliceosomal RNA". Rfam says of the family: U1 is a small nuclear RNA (snRNA) component of the spliceosome (involved in pre-mRNA splicing). Its 5' end forms complementary base pairs with the 5' splice junction, thus defining the 5' donor site of an intron. There are significant differences in sequence and secondary structure between metazoan and yeast U1 snRNAs, the latter being much longer (568 nucleotides as compared to 164 nucleotides in human). Lineage: Eukaryota; Metazoa; Chordata; Lepidosauria; Squamata; Agamidae. The record is from Rfam by way of RNAcentral.
ACUCAUACCUGGCAGGGGAAAUACCAUUAUCAUAAAAGUGGGUUUCCCAAGGUAAGGAUCAUCCAUUGCACUUUGGAUGUGCUGAUCCCUGUGAUUUCCCCAAAUGUGGGAAAAUCAACUGCCUAAUUUGUGGUAGUGGGGGGUUGCAUUUGUGGUUUCUCCUG